This 959-nucleotide long non-coding RNA is filed under the name Cricetulus griseus (Chinese hamster). Its description in RNAcentral is "lncRNA (ENSCGRG00015030763.1)". Lineage: Eukaryota; Metazoa; Chordata; Mammalia; Rodentia; Cricetidae. The record is from RNAcentral.
CAGGCAUGCUCCUGGUCUAGAUAAGUGCUCAGCUCAAGUACUGCACCAGGAGGCUGCAAAGCCUGAAGAACCUGCACCCAGAAGCAGCAUGGUCCAGGGCUUCUAUAACAGUGAAGAAAGCUGAUGCUGGCACAGUAAGGCUGUUUGCAUACAUGGAUACACUCAUGAAUAAAAGAAAAUUGUGGAUCACCUAGCCACUAUUUUGAUUGAGACAUUCUGAGGAAUUAAUAGUGCAAUUCUACAAGGCAGUGGGAGAAAGACUAUAUAUAUAUAUGUGUAUAUAUAUACAUAUAUAUAUAUAUAUAUAUAUAUAUAUAGAGAGAGAGAGAGAGAGAGAGAGAGAGAGCUGUUCCCAGCAUCUUUCUGAUCCAGCCAGAACCUGGAAGCAACCUAGAUGCCUCUCAACUGAAGAAUGGAUAGAGAAAAUGUGGUACAUUUAUACAAUGGAGUACUACUCAGCAGAAAAAAAGCAAUGUAAACUUGAAAUUCAAAGGCAAAUGGAUGAAACUAGAAGAAACCAUCCUGAGUGAGGUAACCCAGUCACAAAUACAAACAUGAGCACUCAUCCAGUGGCUGGUGGAAGCAGAGGUAGACACCCACAGAUACACACUGAACUGAACUCUGGAACCCAGUUGCAGAGAGGGAGGAAUGAAGAUCAAAGGGGUUGGUACCAGGCUGGUGAAACCCACAGAAACAGCUGGCCUGAACAAAGGGGACCCCAGACUGCUGUCUGGGAGGCCAGCACAGGACUGAUGCAGACCCCUGAACAUGGAUGUCCAUCAGGAGGCCUUCCGAAAUCUAUGGGGCCCUGGGUAGAGGAUCAGUAUUUUCCCCUGGUGUAAGACUUUGAGAGCCCAUCCCAAAUGAAGGGAUGCUCUCUGGGCCUGGACACAUGGGGGAGGGUCUAGGCCCGGCCCAGGAUGAUGUGGUGGACUUUGGGGAUCCCCUGUCGAGGGCCC